This 243-nucleotide unclassified non-coding RNA is filed under the name Hevea brasiliensis (rubber tree). The record is from RNAcentral. Lineage: Eukaryota; Viridiplantae; Streptophyta; Magnoliopsida; Malpighiales; Euphorbiaceae.
UGGAGGUCUCGCUCCUCACUGACAAGCGAUCUGCGAUCCAGCCCGAGAGUCCGAAAGGUUUUCCUUCCCUCGGCCAGCAAGUCCUGAGCCUUCUGAUCUAGAUAUGGUGGCACGUCGGAUGAGAGGUAAACUUNNNNGCUCCCAAGCGAUCAUCAGCCGGUUCGAUAUUAACUCGUUCGAACCGCGGGACGACACCGCCCGGAUGUGGUGAGACAACCAGCGUCUUCGUUGGCUCGUCAAGAU